AUUAUUUUAGCAUAUUUAGUGCUUUAAAUUUAGAAUUUAAGUUAAAUUAUAUAUAUAUAAUAAAUAAUA
Molecule: transfer RNA, 69 nt
Filed under: Melipona fasciculata
Lineage: Eukaryota; Metazoa; Arthropoda; Insecta; Hymenoptera; Apidae
Description: tRNA-Leu
Source: RNAcentral